Molecule: long non-coding RNA, 2360 nt
Organism: Alosa alosa (allis shad)
Lineage: Eukaryota; Metazoa; Chordata; Actinopteri; Clupeiformes; Clupeidae
Exons: 4
Source: RefSeq, a predicted model, not a curated record
UUGCUGGCUGCAAGUCAGAUUCUCUUUGUGUUGGUGCUGGACACUAUUGUGCGAGUUGGGCUUCACUUUUCAUGCAGGGUAAUUUCUAGAAGGUUGUGUCUACUCUUCACGGAGGACACAGGCUUCUGCAUGGAGUUUUAACAUUUGUGAUCACCUCAUUGUGACCUGAGCUGAUGGGCUGCAUUGGUAAAUUUCUUAAUAUGCACAUUUUCCAUUGAAUGUUUUAUAUGUUGUAUGUUGUUGUAUGAACAUUCACCUUUUUGCCCUCAUGUGUCAAUGAGCUGUGGACAGUUGAGCAUAUUGAAAAGUAGGCCUAUAUUUUCUAGCUAUGUUUGAGUAUGUAGCCAGUUGCAUUCUCGCUCUGUGUCUCCUCCUGCUUACCUUACACACUGGUCUCUAACGAAGGGGGCGGGGCAGGCAUGUAGCUAUCCAUUCAUUCAGAUCCUGGUAUUAGGCCAUGGUAUAAAGGUGCCUAGUAGGUCGGACUGUCUUCCUCUCGGUCUCUCGCUCGGUUUGUCCCUGGGUUUCACGCAGGAGCCAAUCGCCAGGUAUGUUGCAAUUUCGCUGCAUUGGUUAAGCUAUUCAUGCCUAGUUUUAAUACUUUACUCUUUCCAUCUGUAGCUCUGCGUCUCCCUUACUCUGCUGUGGCUGUAUGGAACCUGACCUGUCUAGCAUUAGAUAACUCUCCCCUGCAGGUAUGCAUUUCCAAAUAUUUAUCUCCCUUUAUUAGCCUUACGGAGUCUUAAUUGCUCUUUGUUUAUGUAUGCUUGCAGCUUAUGACGACGGCACGGCAUGUCUGUUUUAAGCGUUCUUUAGGCCUACUGGCUAAUCAGUGACUGCAAGUGUUUGGUAUGUAUGAAACCGGAAUGUUGUAGCUUUUGGUGUGGCAUUUGAGACACUUUGAUACACUCUAAGUGUUGACUAUUUAUGUUACAGGUAGCAUGGCUUCAAGUUUGCUUGUUUAGUGCGGUCACGCUGCUGUCUUGUCCAUAGCAUUAGUUUUCACUUAUUUUUGUGUUUACGUCAUCACAGCUCCUCCGUGUCGCGGUAGCUGACCUGUUUGUGUUGCUCUUUGCUUGAUUGGGAUUUCCCAGGCGGGUUUGUUUUUGUUUGUUUUUGUUUGCUGGUCUGUUUUGCUUUUGCCUUAGUGUGUGUGUAAUCGUGUUUUCUGAGUUUGUAGUGUGUCUGCAUGCUUAGCUUUUAUCCCAGCGAGGAUUAUUUCCCUGGCUCAAUAGCUUUACAUCUUUAAUUGGUAUAACCUACAUGCUGGUGUUUGUGGUUGCUGUGCUCCUUUUUGAUCAGUUUAUGUGUUGGCAGGCCUGUGGGUUAUCUUCGGCGGGGGGUAACUAGUCACCUGGUGGCGGGCUUGUGAACUUCACUUUGGAGUGUACUAUGGAAUAUCGGUGGUGGUUUGCUGUGACAAUGGUGUAACACUUUUCUGCAGUGAGAGUGCACGUGUGGACACCUUCCUUGAUAGUCUGCUUCCCCCCAUCCAGGGACCAGGCCAGCCACUGUUUUCCUGCUAUCGCUGUACAAGGCCGGAUCCACACUGAUGCUUUGCCCCUUCUUGCCAAGGGACCACAUUGGGAGACACUGUCUUGGUGUGUACUAUAACUACAACACGGUGUGACAUUUUGUAGUGGUAUCGAAAGACCUUAAGUGUGUAGUGCUUGCUGCAACAGGACACGUGUGACAUUUUGUAGUGGUAUCUGAAGAUCUUGAGUGUAGUGCUUGCUGUGUUGCUUCGUCUGGUGUUGGGUUGCUGUCUCCUGUUUUUUCUGUCUCACCAUUGUCCUCCUGAGCAGGGGUUUUGCACUGGCCGAUCCGACCUUCCUAGACUGAGGAAAAUCCACCAGUUUAUAGCAGUAUUUUAAGAUUUAGAACUUUUCUACUCCUUUUGUACUAAAUUGUAAUACAUUUGAAAUACACGUACAUAUCUGCCUCUUGUCUACUGUCCCUUUGCGGGGAACAUAUAGAAUUAGCCACACUACAUUCAGGGAAAGAUCUGUGGGUCCUCCUGCCAAUCAUCAGGGGGUGGCGUAGUCAGACUGUAAAGGUAUACCGCUUGACGGGUACCACACAAUUAAAUGAAAAUAAAAACAUGACCUGUGCAGGUCAGUUGUAACACCAGUAUCUAUGGCAAAAUGAACUGAUUUUAUCGCGCAUGCGCGAACAUUCUCAUUGCGAGUUAUGGAUUAUGAUUUUUGUGCCGCGAUCACCCAAUUAAAGUUAACACAGCAACUUGAAAUAUCACUGUUGGACCAAAUGCUUCAGACAUGUAAGAAAUAAGCAGUUUAUCAACUAUAUUUACUGGUUUUAUCAAGUGGAUAUGGCCAUAAUAUUUAGCAUAUUUUUGUGAG